RNAcentral lists this ribosomal RNA (1002 nucleotides) under Talaromyces emodensis. Its description in RNAcentral is "SSU rRNA". It matches the Rfam family "Eukaryotic small subunit ribosomal RNA", at positions 93 to 1103 of the family's 1831-position model. Lineage: Eukaryota; Fungi; Ascomycota; Eurotiomycetes; Eurotiales; Trichocomaceae. The record is from RNAcentral.
AUGGCUCAUUAAAUCAGUUAUCGUUUAUUUGAUAGUACCCUACUACAUGGAUACCUGUGGUAAUUCUAGAGCUAAUACAUGCGUAAAACCCCGACUCACGAAGGGGUGUAUUUAUUAGAUAAAAAACCAAUGCCCCUCGGGGCUCCUUGGUGAUUCAUAAUAACUUAACGAAUCGCAUGGCCUUGCGCCGGCGAUGGUUCAUUCAAAUUUCUGCCCUAUCAACUUUCGAUGGUAGGAUAGUGGCCUACCAUGGUGGCAACGGGUAACGGGGAAUUAGGGUUCGAUUCCGGAGAGGGAGCCUGAGAAACGGCUACCACAUCCAAGGAAGGCAGCAGGCGCGCAAAUUACCCAAUCCCGAUGCGGGGAGGUAGUGACAAUAAAUACUGAUACAGGGCUCUUUUGGGUCUUGUAAUUGGAAUGAGUGCAAUCUAAAUCUCUCAACGAGGAACAAUUGGAGGGCAAGUCUGGUGCCAGCAGCCGCGGUAAUUCCAGCUCCAAUAGCGUAUAUUAAAGUUGUUGCAGUUAAAAAGCUCGUAGUUGAACCUUGGGCCUGUCCUGCCGGUCCGCCUCACCGCGAGUACUGGUCCGGAUGGGCCUUUCUUUCUGGGGAAUCCCAUGGCCUUCACUGGCCGUGGCGGGGAACCAGGACUUUUACUGUGAAAAAAUUAGAGUGUUCAAAGCAGGCCUUUGCUCGGAUACAUUAGCAUGGAAUAAUAGAAUAGGACGUGCGGUUCUAUUUUGUUGGUUUCUAGGACCGCCGUAAUGAUUAAUAGGGAUAGUCGGGGGCGUCAGUAUUCAGCUGUGAGAGGUGAAAUUCUUGGACCAGCUGAAGACUAACUACUGCGAAAGCAUUCGCCAAGGAUGUUUUCAUUAAUCAGGGAACGAAAGUUAGGGGAUCGAAGACGAUCAGAUACCGUCGUAGUCUUAACCAUAAACUAUGCCGACUAGGGAUCGGGCGGUGUUUCUAUGAUGACCCGCUCGGCACCUUACGAGAAAUCAAAG